CUGCAACUCGCCUGCAUGAAGGUGGAAUUGCUAGUAAUCGCGAAUCAGAAUGUCGCGGUGAAUACGUUCCCGGGCCUUGUACACACCGCCCGUCACACCAUGAGAGUCGAUAACACCCGAAGCCUGUGAGCUAACCUUUCAGGAGGCAGCAGUCGAAGGUGGGGUUGAUGAUUGGGGUGAAGUCGUAACAAGGUAAC
Molecule: ribosomal RNA, 197 nt
Filed under: uncultured bacterium
Lineage: Bacteria
Description: partial 16S ribosomal RNA
Rfam family: Bacterial small subunit ribosomal RNA
Source: RNAcentral